UACAUCCAGUGUACUACAUGACCCAUAAUGCUCUUGUUCUGAUAUCUGUCUCCUCACCAACCCAAGUGCCAGUACAUAUGAGGAGGCUGCAGCCUAUAUCUAGUGUACUACAGUACCCAUAAUGCAUUAUUAUUGUUGUUGUUGUUAUUAUUACAGGUGCCAGUACAUAGGAGGCAGCAGCAUAUAUCUAGUGUACUACACUACCCAUAAUGCAUUAUUAUUAUUACAGGUGCCAGUACAUAUGAGGAGGCAGCAGCCUAUAUCCAGUGUCAGUUUGAGGAUCUCAACAGGAGGAAGGGCACUAAAGAGAUCUACACCCACUUCACAUGCGCCACCGACACCAAGAACGUCCAGUUCGUGUUUGACGCCGUCAUCAUCAAGAUCAACCUAAUGGAGUGUAAACUCUGCUGAGGUGACAGGGAUCUUCAAGUGUCUGGUGAGCCUCAUGGGAGGGGAUGAUGACUUGGGAUGUUUGCAUUAGAUGAUCGUAGAAGAUUAUAGAAAGUAGAACCGGAGACUGAGACUGUUCGUUACCACACUGCAUGCAGCACCUGAUGAAUGCUGCAUUUUGGGAUUUGGUUCCUGUUUUUUUUUUCUCCGAGAGGAUUUUCCUCCAUGUUCAACACUCUGAUGCACACCGAGGAGCAGGACAGAACUGAACUGUGGGUAAAAUCUUCACUAGUGAAACACUCCCUGUGACGUCUAUGGGAACUGCCAAGUCCGACUACAGAGCACUUCUGUUUUUAGUUCCAGAUCAUGUAUAUGGAGUGAAGUGAUGUUUUUAUGACAUUUAGUUGGUGAUUAACCAACAAAUCCCACAGAUAAUCCUUGGCUAGUUCCCAAAUGGCAACCUAAUUCCUUAUGUAGUGCACUAUUUUUAACCAUCCCUUCGCUUCAUUCCAGUGCUCACAUCUAUAGAUUGACACACUACUGGUAUAUAUGAAACAAAAAGGACCCAAUCAUCAAGCUGAAUAUCUCUCAUCGUAAUAUUUCACGAUUCGUUAUGUUUAUUUUUUUCACCAAUCUGUUUGCAUUCGUUCACUGAGUCAUAUGCCUCAUUUCAUUUCCCAUUUUUAAAAAAAACAUGUAUUUCAUAGCUUGUUAUUUGUAUUAAGUAGUUGAAAUAGUUUAUUUUUCAUUUUGGUAUUUCUUUAGAUGAUCAGAUUGCAUUUAUUUCUAUCUAUGAGUAUGGUUAAUGGUCUGAAGUUGGUGUAUGGAUCAGGAAUUCAUGUGAUAGAUUUGACCUGCACCUACUCUUAACUCUUCACAGUUUUGAGAUUUUAAUCAGCCAUAUUUUCAUGAAUUAAAUAGUCUUGUGUAGACUUUAACAUGAGGUUUCACUUAGGCUACAAUCCUUAUUUCUGAUUCUUAAAAAAUAAAAUUAAAAAUGUAGAAAAUGGACCACUUUGUAUUGAACAAUAUUUUUAUAUUUAGGACUCUUGUUCACUACCGCACAUUAUUGUACAUGUAUUGAUGAUUGUCAAGUGAGAUUAAUAACUGUAUCACAACACUUUAUAAGACAAUAAGUAUUGAUUACCUGCAUGAAAGAGAAUUUUGGAAUCCACAGCUUGAUAUUUUAUAGCCUUUUAUAAUUAAUUCAGAUGUAUAUUUUUUAAUUCAAAGUGAUUUUUCUUAAUCCUAUGAAUUUCAGUGAAAGAAUGAACUGACCAAGGAUCAAGAUCAAGUGUGUAACAAAAUGUCUUGUUACCGAGGGGGAAGAUGCGCUCAGACCCCACUUGCAGAAUGGAGUUUUCCUUGUUCUAAUGGCAACUCUGCCUCCGAGGGCAGAAAUAAAUGUGAUUUGGUUAAGUUUAGGCAAGAAGUGAGACACUUAAGUAUGUAAUUACACGUAAUAAAAGGUUAUGGGUUGGGUUAGGUUUAAGUAAGAAAUAUGAUUGGUUCGGAACCAAAAAAAACUCCACUGAGCGUUAAUUCUGUCCAGAAAACGGUUGCCAAAUAGCCACUACCUACUGUAUCUGGGAUAGACUGUCACCACUUCCCCAAACAAUACUAUACAUUCCAGGGUCAUAUUCACCAUUAGGCCCCCAAACAGAAGAAAAUACACUGAAACAGGGAGGGAAUACCUGGAAGUCCAAUAAGACUUUAAUAAGAACUUCUUUGCUCCAUUUUGAAACGGUGUGCACUAAUGAAUACGACCCUGGAGACUGAUCAGAUGUGGUAACUACAUUAUGUUUCUGGUUCAGUUUGACUUUGUACAGAUGAUGUUGUUGAUCUUAACACCAUUAAAUGAUGGCACUAAA
Oncorhynchus tshawytscha (Chinook salmon) is the source of this 2261-nucleotide long non-coding RNA. RefSeq lists it as uncharacterized. The transcript is spliced from 2 exons. Lineage: Eukaryota; Metazoa; Chordata; Actinopteri; Salmoniformes; Salmonidae. The record is from RefSeq and is a predicted model, not a curated record.